This 546-nucleotide ribosomal RNA is filed under the name Labrisomus multiporosus (porehead blenny). RNAcentral describes it as "partial 16S large subunit ribosomal RNA". It matches the Rfam family "Bacterial large subunit ribosomal RNA", at positions 22 to 1050 of the family's 2925-position model. Lineage: Eukaryota; Metazoa; Chordata; Actinopteri; Blenniiformes; Labrisomidae. The record is from RNAcentral.
AGCCCAACAGCUAGCUUCACCUAAAAAAACACCCCGCAAACAUUACCACCCCUACAGAUACUUUCAACCUCUUAAACAAACCAUUUUCCCCCUUUAGUAUGGGAGACAGAAAAAGAACCAUGAAAGCGACAGAAAAAGUACCGCAAGGGAACGCUGAAAGAGAAAUGAAACAACUCAGUAAAGCAAAAAACAGCAAAGAUCCCCCCUUGUACCUUUUGCAUCAUGAUUUAACUAGCCCACCCCAAGCAAAGAGCCCUUUAGUUUGAGCACCCGAAACUAAGUGAGCUACUCCAAGACAGCCUAUUAAGAGGGCACACCCGUCUCUGUGGCAAAAGAGUGGGAGGAUCUUUGAGUAGAGGUGACAGACCUACCGAACUUAGUAAUAGCUGGUUGCCUGAGAAAUGAAUAGAAGUUCAGCCUCUUAGAUUCUUGUCUUCCCCCUCCGGCCCCAGCCCAAGACAAUAAGCAGAAGCUAAAAGCGUUAGUCAAAGGGGGUUCAGCCCCUUUGACAAAAGAUACAACUUUUCUAGCUGGGUAAAGAUCAUG